Molecule: ribosomal RNA, 498 nt
Filed under: uncultured bacterium
Lineage: Bacteria
Description: partial 16S ribosomal RNA
Rfam family: Bacterial small subunit ribosomal RNA
Source: RNAcentral
GAUGAACGCUGGCGGCGUGCCUAAUACAUGCAAGUCGAGCGAACGGACGAGAAGCUUGCUUCUCUGAUGUUAGCGGCGGACGGGUGAGUAACAUGUGGAUAACCUACCUAUAAGACUGGGAUAACUUCGGGAAACCGUAGCUAAUACCGGAUAAUAUUUUGAACCGCAUGGUUCAAAAGUGAAAGACGGUCUUGCUGUCACUUAUAGAUGGAUCCGCGCUGCAUUAGCUAGUUGGUAAGGUAACGGCUUACCAAGGCAACGAUGCAUAGCCGACCUGAGAGGGUGAUCGGCCACACUGGAACUGAGACACGGUCCAGACUCCUACGGGAGGCAGCAGUAGGGAAUCUUCCGCAAUGGGCGAAAGCCUGACGGAGCAACGCCGCGUGAGUGAUGAAGGUCUUCGGAUCGUAAAACUCUGUUAUUAGGGAAGAACAUAUGUGUAAGUAACUGUGCACAUCUUGACGGUACCUAAUCAGAAAGCCACGGCUAACUACGUGC